This 245-nucleotide ribosomal RNA is filed under the name uncultured Eubacteriales bacterium. RNAcentral describes it as "uncultured Clostridiales bacterium partial 16S ribosomal RNA". It matches the Rfam family "Bacterial small subunit ribosomal RNA", at positions 796 to 1041 of the family's 1533-position model. The record is from RNAcentral. Lineage: Bacteria; Bacillati; Bacillota; Clostridia; Eubacteriales.
CACGCUGUAAACGAUGAGUGCUAGGUGUCGGGGGUCAAACCUCGGUGCCGCAGCUAACGCAUUAAGCACUCCGCCUGGGGAGUACGUUCGCAAGAAUGAAACUCAAAGGAAUUGACGGGGACCCGCACAAGCAGCGGAGCAUGUGGUUUAAUUCGAAGCAACGCGAAGAACCUUACCAGGGCUUGACAUCCCUCGGACCGACUUAGAGAUAAGUCUUUCCCUUCGGGGACCGAGGUGACAGGUGG